This 629-nucleotide ribosomal RNA is filed under the name uncultured Bacteroidales bacterium. RNAcentral describes it as "bacterial SSU rRNA". It matches the Rfam family "Bacterial small subunit ribosomal RNA", at positions 87 to 714 of the family's 1533-position model. Lineage: Bacteria; Pseudomonadati; Bacteroidota; Bacteroidia; Bacteroidales. The record is from RNAcentral.
GCCGGCGACCGGCGCACGGGUGAGUAACGCGUAUCCAACCUUCCGUACACUCAGGGAUAGCCUUUCGAAAGAAAGAUUAAUACCUGAUGGUAUGAUGAGAUUGCAUGAUAGCAUCAUUAAAGAUUUAUCGGUGUACGAUGGGGAUGCGUUCCAUUAGGUAGUAGGCGGGGUAACGGCCCACCUAGCCUACGAUGGAUAGGGGUUCUGAGAGGAAGGUCCCCCACAUUGGAACUGAGACACGGUCCAAACUCCUACGGGAGGCAGCAGUGAGGAAUAUUGGUCAAUGGACGAGAGUCUGAACCAGCCAAGUAGCGUGAAGGAUGAAGGUCCUACGGAUUGUAAACUUCUUUUAUAAGGGAAUAAAACCUCCCACGUGUGGGAGCUUGUAUGUACCUUAUGAAUAAGCAUCGGCUAACUCCGUGCCAGCAGCCGCGGUAAUACGGAGGAUGCGAGCGUUAUCCGGAUUUAUUGGGUUUAAAGGGAGCGCAGACGGGUCGUUAAGUCAGCUGUGAAAGUUUGGGGCUCAACCUUAAAAUUGCAGUUGAUACUGGCGUCCUUGAGUGCGGUUGAGGUGUGCGGAAUUCGUGGUGUAGCGGUGAAAUGCUUAGAUAUCACGAAGAACUCCGAUU